AUAUAUGUAGCUUAUUACAGAGCAUUUUACUGAAGAUAAAAAAGUCUAAAUA
This 52-nucleotide transfer RNA is filed under the name Parasteatoda cingulata. RNAcentral describes it as "tRNA-Phe". The record is from RNAcentral. Lineage: Eukaryota; Metazoa; Arthropoda; Arachnida; Araneae; Theridiidae.